This 749-nucleotide ribosomal RNA is filed under the name Plasmopara wilsonii. RNAcentral describes it as "LSU rRNA". It matches the Rfam family "Eukaryotic large subunit ribosomal RNA", at positions 51 to 636 of the family's 3401-position model. Lineage: Eukaryota; Oomycota; Peronosporomycetes; Peronosporales; Peronosporaceae. The record is from RNAcentral.
CGGAGGCAUAAGAAACUAACAAGGAUUCCCCUAGUAACGGCGAGUGAAGCGGGAUGAGCUCAAGCUUAAAAUCUCCGUGCAAUUUUUGCAUGGCGAAUUGUAGCCUAUAGAAGCGUGGUCAGUAUGAGUACUUGAAGAAAGUUCCUUGGAAUAGGACAGCAUGGAGGGUGAUACUCCCGUUCGUCUUUAAGUUGCUUGUGCGUACGACCCGUUUUCUUUGAGUCGCGUUGUUUGAGAAUGCAGCGCAAAGUAGGUGGUAAAUUCCAUCUAAAGCUAAAUAUUGGUGCGAGACCGAUAGCAUACAAGUACCGUGAGGGAAAGAUGAAAAGAACUUUGAAAAUAGAGUUAAAGAGUACCUGAAACUGCUGAAAGGUAACCAGAUCGUUUCCAGUGUCUAUAAUCUGUGGUAUAUUACAUCGGCGAGUGUGUGCGUGCGUGUGCUUUUGCAGUAGCCUUUUGGUUGCGCUUGGUGCGUGUGUUGCGUGUGCUUGUUGGUGCACUGUGCUGCGGUGGGACGUCAAGGUCAGUUCGUAUGCUGCGGGAAAUGGCAACUGAGGAGGUAGGGUUUACGCUUGCGUUUGCCUAUUAUAUCUUGGUAGCUGAGUAGUUGCGGUUGGGACUGAGGUGCCUACAACGUGCUUUUGAGUGGGCUUGUGUCUCUGUGUGCGCUGUGUGCGAAUAGCUUGCUAUGCGUGUGUGGCUGCGUGUGGAUUGAUGCGAGUCGUAACUUGUAGUCGUUCGGGACGUUG